Molecule: long non-coding RNA, 679 nt
Organism: Brassica rapa (field mustard)
Lineage: Eukaryota; Viridiplantae; Streptophyta; Magnoliopsida; Brassicales; Brassicaceae
Source: RefSeq, a predicted model, not a curated record
UUAUAACUGUCAUUCAUGCAAUGUAACAAAGACAAUCAGUUAACAUGGCUAAAGAGAGAUCAUAUACAAUUUCUCUUCUUCUUCUUCUUCUUUCUCUGCUUCUGUGUUUUUCAUCUCAAUCUCAAGUUGGUGUUGCCGAGGCCAAACGUCACACACUUGCUACCAGGUAUUCAGAUUCUCGAUGCGCCAAUAAAAUUCUCAAAAUUCCAAGUAAAUUUCUGUUCCAAAAUUAGAAAACAAACAUUCUUAAAUAAAUUGUCUGUACAUAGUUAUGGUUCAAGUUUGCUGAGGGGGUGUAAACUAGCGCCAGUGCUAAAGAACCUAAUAAUAUGAAUUUGCACGUCUUGGAAAGAGAUUCACUUCAAUUCAGAGAAUGGGAGAUGACAAGUAUGAAGUAGGAAUGAGAUUUUGGUUUGCCACAAGAAGUAUAGCAUAGACAUAAAGAAAAUUUUGUCUUUUACAUUUUCAAAAACCUGAAAAUCAAAGGAUUACACCUCACUCGAAGUCACCCAAAGGAAAAGGACCAUAAGUGAUAAAAUGAAGUUUUCAAACAGUGAAGGAGAGUACAAGAAGAGUCGACUUUAUAAUUGUGUAACUGUUAAAAGUCUAUCAUGGAUUUGCUUAUACAUAAAUCAAUAAAUGUUUCAUAAACCAGAUAUAUUCCAAAAAUUAUGUGGAA